Molecule: long non-coding RNA, 2313 nt
Organism: Gasterosteus aculeatus aculeatus (three-spined stickleback)
Lineage: Eukaryota; Metazoa; Chordata; Actinopteri; Perciformes; Gasterosteidae
Source: Ensembl
CCCCCCCCCCCCACACACAGGAUGUCACACCUCGCCACCUCACAGGCCGCUCAGCGCACCCGAGGGUCCAGGCUCGGCCCAAAGACUGUGCAGGUGGAGGCCCACGUGUUAGAAGAGGACUCGAGGUGCGAUUUGACUUCACGCGCUGCCACGCGGACGGUGAUUGGGGCGGUUUUCUCACGGCGCCUUCAAGCUUUUUAACCGGUUGAAGGUUGCGCGUGUUGUUAUGCGUUUGGACACAAGGUCGAAAUGUAAAGGCUGAACGGUUAAUAUGCGGCAUGAAGUUCCUAUGAAAUAGGAAUGUUCCUAAUGCAGUGAGCAAGAGAACCAAGAAGAGCUUCUAAACGCCGCGUUGAAACCAUGUUACCUGGUCCCCAAGGUCAAACGCGAGACGGAGGAAUUACACCGGCAUAACCCCAGAUGACGACAUCGUCAGUAAUCUAGUUCCGACACAUUAAACAUGCAAACCGGCAGCUCUCGUGAGCACUGAAAGAGCAGCAAAUUAAAAAGAAAAUGACUCAAAAUCCUGCGUGUGUGCUGACCUGCCAACCCAUCAGCUAUGUCUGACAGCAAUGUGAAGCUUCUAAAUUCCAUUACAGCUAAAGGAUGAAGCCACCUGAUGGCAAACUGUUACAAUCUGCUGUAUGUCAGGGUAGCAAACACAAGCCUCGGGCUGGGAUAUAAAACGCAGCCAAUGAAAGACAGACCAUGUGGGAUGGGGUACCGGCUCAUGAUGUGUUGUCCGACAGAUUUAUGGGAUGAAACGUGACUGAGAGGCCCGUGUUACAUUUGAUUAAACUAGAGGCCUGUGCUGAAACCAUAAAUAUAGCCUGCUAGAGAUAUUUACAUCAGUAGACAUACAUCAGCCAAAGAAAAAGUUGCGAUGGGGCCGACCUUGUGCGGAUAACAAUGCUUCCACGCACUCAUUCACACCUGCAAAGGUCCUUGAUGUGAUGUGAUGUGAUAAUGUGCUAGUGAUAGAUUUUAAAAAAUGAUUGUUGAUUUUGUCAAUUAUUUUCCUAGAGUUGCUUCUCACGCCCCUUUUUAUCACUCGGCAAAGAGAAAAAUAUCCAAAGAGAAAAUGAUUUCUACAUACCACACUGAGAAUCUUGGGUUCAAAGGAUAACGAGAAAUGGGACAUUUAAGUUGAAACUGGAAAGUACUGCAGCACAUUAUAGCACACAGUAAAAAUGCAUGAUAAAAUGGACAAUUAGCGGAUUGGUUAGUACAUAAAAUUAAAUACAAGUAAAAUGUGCACAAAUCAGAAGGUAACCUCAAAAAUACCAUUAAAUUAACAAUGAUCACUGCACAUGUUGUAUUAAAAAUAGCCCAAUAUGGACAGCAGGAGGGAAAAAACACAUCCAACAUUAAAUAAAACAAACUCAGGGAUUUCAAUGAGGUCAUUGCAGUAACCCAUGACAACAGCAACUUCGCCUGUGAGGCUCAUCGUGAAGAACUUACUUCGGUAAUUUAUGCUGCCACAGCACCGCCGCAGAGCCUCACCCAGGAGGACGUCAACUCGAGCGACUGCACCGAAAGGGGCGUGUGCAAAGAACAAGAGCCACGGAGUUCAUCGAGCAACGGCGCCACCUGCUGGAGUGAAAAUGGUACGACACUUGCAGUGUUUUAAGCACAACUCGGAUGGAAACUAGAAGAAUGAACGUUUGCUGAAAGGUUAUUUUGACACUAAAGUGAACUGACAGCAUUACAUCUUGAAAAGUGUAUUAUUAACACAACUUAAGGAUAAAGUUGUUUUGUCCAAAGGCAACGAGGACCUUUCCAAAUGCUGUAAUGUUAGCUCCUCCAUGGAGGAAUGUUAAGGUCUUUAACCUUCCCCAAAAAUAAAUGUCCCGGAGAAAACGGCGAAUCCAUAACUUAUUAACGUGUUAACGUUGUUUUUGAAAAACAAAAAGGCUAACGUUAAUCUUAAAACCGCAGAGGUCUAAUUGACGUCCCAUCGCUGCGUCAUCGACCUGUUAACUAACUUAAUGUCACCGUUAAUAAAGUUAGCGCAUUUGAAUUGAGUUCAAGCCAAACAUUUUACAACCAAACCUUCAGAAAACGAUGAUGGUGGUACACUUACGGUCAUUUUCUUACGUUGAAAAAUGCCACGUUAACGUUGGUCGUCUCAAGUAGUGAGUAUAUGCAAACGUUAAGUAAUGAGAUAAGCUAACGCUAACAUUAUAUGCAGUGCAUUUAAUGAACAUAUUUACCAUGUGUUGACAUUAUAUAAUUACAAAAUAUAACUUAAUGAAAGUGUACUUUAUUUGUGAAAUGUUCCCAUAAUUGUGUGUGUGUGUGUGUAUAUAUAUA